AUGUCUGAGAAGGCAGCAAGGAGCUCCCCUGCUCCGUCAGAGCCGCCGGUGGCGGGUGAUCAUAUGAAGGACGAUUACUGGGCUGACAUUCUCAUAAACGUGGAAGAACCGCUGUCUAGUCAGGCAAAGAAGAAGGACAAGGGCAAGAUGAGAUCAAGCAAGAAGCAGCGGCGUGACGACGAGAUGAAGCAAGAUGAGAUGCCCGCGGAGGAAGCAAAGGCCGAAAGCCAGCAAGACAAGGCAGAGGCAGAGAACGGGAAGGCGAACGGGGCGGAGGAGGACGCGUCGCUGACGGGGCUGGUGCUGCACUUCAGCAAGCCGGGCGUGGUGCCCUCGCGCGGCGACCUCAUCGACAUCUUCAGCCAGUACGGGCCCGUGAGCGAGGCGAGGACGGAGACGGACGAGCACUCGAGCUCAGCCCAGGUGGUGUUCAGGCGGCGCGCGGACGCGGAGGCGGCGUUCGGCGGUGCGGGCAAGAUCGCCGCCCUCAGGCCUGGCCUCGACAGCUUCCGCCUCACCGACUUCCCGUGCGCCGCCGCCGCCGCUGCGUUCCGGGGUGACGACGGGCCGAAGCAGGAGUGA
Molecule: ribosomal RNA, 582 nt
Filed under: Triticum aestivum (bread wheat)
Lineage: Eukaryota; Viridiplantae; Streptophyta; Magnoliopsida; Poales; Poaceae
Description: partial small subunit ribosomal RNA
Source: RNAcentral